This 77-nucleotide transfer RNA is filed under the name Elusimicrobiota bacterium. RNAcentral describes it as "Elusimicrobia bacterium (groundwater metagenome) tRNA-Glu". It matches the Rfam family "tRNA". From Rfam's summary of the family: Transfer RNA (tRNA) molecules are approximately 80 nucleotides in length. Lineage: Bacteria; Pseudomonadati; Elusimicrobiota. The record is from RNAcentral.
GGCCCCAUCGUCUAGCGGCCUAGGACGUUGCCCUCUCAAGGCAAAGAUCACGGGUUCGAAUCCCGUUGGGGCCACCA